CCUACGGGGGGCUGCAGUCGAGAAUCAUUCGCAAUGGGCGAAAGCCUGACGGUGCGACGCCGCGUGGAGGAUGAAGGCCCUAGGGUCGUAAACUCCUGUCAUCAGGGAGUAAAGACUCGUGUAGUCACUGACACGGGUCCUGAUAGUACCUGAAGAGGAAGGGACGGCAAACUUCGUGCCAGCAGCCGCGGUAAUACGAAGGUCCCAAGCGUUGAGCGGAUGUAGUGGGCGUGGAGAGUCAGAUGGCGGCGCCCGGGGCGCAACCCCGGAACUGCAUCCGAUACUGCCUUGCUAGAGUAUUGGAGGGGAGUCUGGAAUUCUCGGUGUAGCAGUGAAAUGCGUAGAUAUCGAGAGGAACACUAGUGGCGAAGGCGAGACUCUGGACAAUUACUGACGCUGAGAGACGAAGGUCAGGGGAGCGAAAAGGAUUAGAUACCCCAGUAGUC
RNAcentral lists this ribosomal RNA (446 nucleotides) under uncultured bacterium. RNAcentral describes it as "partial 16S ribosomal RNA". It matches the Rfam family "Bacterial small subunit ribosomal RNA", at positions 338 to 795 of the family's 1533-position model. The record is from RNAcentral.